UACGAGUGGCCCGAGGCAUCAUCGGAAUCACUGGGCUUAACAAGUGCGCAGGCGGCCCGGCAGGCCUCUCGUGAUAUCCCCCGGCUCAACCGGGGAACUGCGGGGUGAACCGCCGGGCUUGAGGCAGGUAGGGGCUGACGGAACAAUGAGUGGAGCGGUGAAAUGCGUAGAUAUUCAUGGGAACGCCGAUGGGGAAGCCGGUCAGCUGGGCCUGUCCUGACGCUCAGGCACGAAAUCGUGGGGAGCAAACAGG
This 253-nucleotide ribosomal RNA is filed under the name uncultured bacterium. RNAcentral describes it as "partial 16S ribosomal RNA". It matches the Rfam family "Bacterial small subunit ribosomal RNA", at positions 524 to 776 of the family's 1533-position model. The record is from RNAcentral.